Molecule: unclassified non-coding RNA, 353 nt
Filed under: soil metagenome
Description: partial contains 5.8S ribosomal RNA, internal transcribed spacer 2, and large subunit ribosomal RNA
Rfam family: 5.8S ribosomal RNA (bases 1-120)
Source: RNAcentral
GAUGAAGAACGUAGCGAAAUGCGAUAAGUAAUGUGAAUUGCAGAAUUCAGUGAAUCAUCGAAUCUUUGAACGCACAUUGCGCCCGCCAGUAUUCUGGCGGGCAUGCCUGUUCGAGCGUCAUUACAACCCUCAGGCCCCCGGGCCUGGUGUUGGGGAUCGGCGGAAGCCCCCUGCGGGCACAACGCCGUCCCCCAAAUACAGUGGCGGUCCCGCCGCAGCUUCCAUUGCGUAGUAGCUAACACCUCGCAACUGGAGAGCGGCGCGGCCACGCCGUAAAACACCCAACUUCUGAAUGUUGACCUCGAAUCAGGUAGGAAUACCCGCUGAACUUAAGCAUAUCAAUAAGCGGAGGA